This 249-nucleotide long non-coding RNA is filed under the name Setaria viridis. Its description in RNAcentral is "long non-coding RNA (SVIR_LNC011307)". The record is from RNAcentral. Lineage: Eukaryota; Viridiplantae; Streptophyta; Magnoliopsida; Poales; Poaceae.
UUUUUGUUCCCUUGCGCCCAGCGCGCGGUGGCGCUGAUCCACGGCUUUUGUUCGCUUGCGGCUGUGCCGACGCCGACGCCGACGCGCGCUGCUGCGACUGUCGCCGCCGCCGGAUCCGAGGUCGUGGUGAGUUCAGCCUUCGGGAGGCCGGAGGGGGACACAACAGGGUUGCUCGGUGGGCGGUCGUCAGGACGUGGUCCGGUGUCCGUGACGACACUAGGGAUGAGAGCGUUCCCUCGUGGGUUCUAG